Molecule: ribosomal RNA, 497 nt
Filed under: uncultured bacterium
Lineage: Bacteria
Description: partial 16S ribosomal RNA
Rfam family: Bacterial small subunit ribosomal RNA
Source: RNAcentral
GAUGAACGCUGGCGGCGUGCCUAAUACAUGCAAGUCGAGCGAACGGACGAUAAGCUUGCUUCUCUGAUGUUAGCGGCGGACGGGUGAGUAACACGUGGAUAACCUACCUAUAAGACUGGGAUAACUUCGGGAAACCGGAGCUAAUACCGGAUAAUAUUUUGAACCGCAUGGUUCAAAAGUGAAUGACGGUCUUGCUGUCUCUUAUAGAUGGAUCCGCGCUGCAUUAGCUAGUUGGUAAGGUAACGGCUUACCAAGGCAACGAUGCAUAGCCGACCUGAGAGGGUGAUCGGCCACACGAGAACUGAGACACGGUCCAGACUCCUACGGGAGGCAGCAGUAGGGAAUCGUCCGCAAUGGGCGAAAGCCUGACGGAGCGACGCCGCGUGAGUGAUGAAGGUCUUCGGAUCGUAAAGCUCUGUUAUUGGGGAAGAACAGAUGUGGAAGUAACUGUGGCCAUCGUGACGGUACCUAAUCAGAAAGCAACGGCUAACUACGUG